UUCAGGGGUAAACCUGAGAAACCCGAAAGGUCGAAAGGGGAAAUUCAUUCGCGUUUCGGCCGCCGGAGUCGGAUGGUCGAGUGACGGACGGCGUACGCGUCGUCCGCGCCUUCCGUCCUUCGAACUGGCGUCGAACGCGUGCACUUUUCCCCUAGUAGGACGUCGCGAUCCGUUGGGCGUCGGUCUAAGACCUGCGGUGGAGCCCGGGCGGACGUCUCACGGCGUUCCGUCUGGACCCGCGGUGUUCCGGCCGACUCGCUCGACGGUAUACAGAUGGCGCGGGGCCGCUACCGAUUCAGUUAGCGUUCGGCCCGCGGCAAGCGCGUUCGGCGUUUGACGGCGAUCGGACCUCGUUCCGGUCCUGUCCCCGAACGACUGUUGGCCUGCGGUGUUCUCGAACAGACCUCGUUUGCGAAACGCCGAUCUGCGACGCUAUAGCUUUGGGUACUUUCAGGACCCACGGACCAAGGAGUCUAGCAUGUGCGCGAGUCAUUGGGACAUAACUAAACCUAAAGGCGCAAUGAAAGUGAAGGUCCGCCUCGCGCGGAUCGAGGGAGGAUGGGCGGUUCGCCCUUAAAGUGGCCGCCUCGCACUCCCGGGGCGUCUCGUUCUCAUUGCGAGAAGAGGCGCACCAAGAGC
Molecule: ribosomal RNA, 639 nt
Filed under: Dorysthenes fossatus
Lineage: Eukaryota; Metazoa; Arthropoda; Insecta; Coleoptera; Cerambycidae
Description: eukaryotic LSU rRNA
Source: RNAcentral